GAUGAAGAACGUAGCGAAAUGCGAUACGUAGUGUGAAUUGCAGAAUUCAGUGAAUCAUCGAAUCUUUGAACGCACAUUGCACCUCUCGGUAUUCCGGGAGGUAUGCCUGUUCGAGCGUCAUUUGUACCCUCAAGCUCUGCUUGGUGUUGGGUGUUUGUUCCGCCUCUGUGUGUGAACUCGCCUCAAAACAAUUGGCAGCCGGCGUACUUGUUUCGGAGCGCAGCACAUUUUGCGAUCCAGAUCAACGUACAGCGGCAUCCAAGAAGCCUUAUUUAACGCUCUUGACCUCGGAUCAGGUAGGGAUACCCGCUGAACUUAAGCAUAUCAGUAAGCGGAGGA
This 339-nucleotide unclassified non-coding RNA is filed under the name soil metagenome. RNAcentral describes it as "partial contains 5.8S ribosomal RNA, internal transcribed spacer 2, and large subunit ribosomal RNA". The stretch from base 1 to 120 matches the Rfam family "5.8S ribosomal RNA", at positions 35 to 154 of the family's 154-position model. The record is from RNAcentral.